This 826-nucleotide ribosomal RNA is filed under the name uncultured Staphylococcus sp. RNAcentral describes it as "bacterial SSU rRNA". It matches the Rfam family "Bacterial small subunit ribosomal RNA", at positions 75 to 885 of the family's 1533-position model. The record is from RNAcentral. Lineage: Bacteria; Bacillati; Bacillota; Bacilli; Caryophanales; Staphylococcaceae.
GAAGCUUGCUUCUCUGAUGUUAGCGGCGGACGGGUGAGUAACACGUGGAUAACCUACCUAUAAGACUGGGAUAACUUCGGGAAACCGGAGCUAAUACCGGAUAAUAUUUUGAACCGCAUGAUUCAAAAGUGAAAGACGGUCUUGCUGUCACUUAUAGAUGGAUCCGCGCUGCAUUAGCUAGUUGGUAAGGUAACGGCUUACCAAGGCAACGAUGCAUAGCCGACCUGAGAGGGUGAUCGGCCACACUGGAACUGAGACACGGUCCAGACUCCUACGGGAGGCAGCAGUAGGGAAUCUUCCGCAAUGGGCGAAAGCCUGACGGAGCAACGCCGCGUGAGUGAUGAAGGUCUUCGGAUCGUAAAACUCUGUUAUUAGGGAAGAACAUAUGUGUAAGUAACUGUGCACAUCUUGACGGUACCUAAUCAGAAAGCCACGGCUAACUACGUGCCAGCAGCCGCGGUAAUACGUAGGUGGCAAGCGUUAUCCGGAAUUAUUGGGCGUAAAGCGCGCGUAGGCGGUUUUUUAAGUCUGAUGUGAAAGCCCACGGCUCAACCGUGGAGGGUCAUUGGAAACUGGAAAACUUGAGUGCAGAAGAGGAAAGUGGAAUUCCAUGUGUAGCGGUGAAAUGCGCGGAGAUAUGGAGGAACACCAGUGGCGAAGGCGACUUUCUGGUCUGUAACUGACGCUGAUGUGCGAAAGCGUGGGGAUCAAACAGGAUUAGAUACCCUGGUAGUCCACGCCGUAAACGAUGAGUGCUAAGUGUUAGGGGGUUUCCGCCCCUUAGUGCUGCAGCUAACGCAUUAAGCACUCCGCCUGGAGAGUACGG